This 832-nucleotide long non-coding RNA is filed under the name Mustela putorius furo (domestic ferret). Its description in RNAcentral is "lncRNA (ENSMPUG00000024565.1)". The record is from RNAcentral. Lineage: Eukaryota; Metazoa; Chordata; Mammalia; Carnivora; Mustelidae.
GUUCAUUGGCUUUUAUUAAGCACUUCCAAUUUGCUCAGUGCUACAUACAUGAUAGGAGACAGUCACUGUUUAUUUUCAAGGUGCUUUCCAAAGACUGAAUAUUAAAGACAGCUUGAGCGAGGCUGGCCCUGUGCCAGGCUUUAAUAAGGCUACCACCCCUCUCCUCCUUCUUCCAGAUGGGGAAGAGGGGGCGGAUGACAUGUGCUGCUUGGGGACCUAUGAAGAGAGCGCAGAGACCGGGGGCAAGAGUUCGGUGGUUCAGGGCUCAGCUCCAAAUUCUUUCUUCUACUCCAGCUCGAAGACCUUGGGCAAGUAUUUAAGUUCUUUCAGCCUUAAGCUUCCACAUCUGUAAAAUAAGAGUAAGUUUUUAUUGCAACAGUUACUUCUACUUAUACCUCUCUUCUUUAGGACCUUGUGCUUGGGAUUCUGGAUCAGACACAAGUAAACUAAGUUGACUCAGUAAACAACUGGGAGAUUUCACUGACCUUAUUGUAUGUCUCAGAAGGUAGGUGAUAGACUGUGAUAGCUAUAGGCUCCCACAGAGUGGAAAACUUUCACAAGCCCUGUGUAGAUAUGUUCUUACGGAACAGAGCAAAGCCUCUAACUAAGCCUUCCUCCUCUACUCUUUGCCACUCUGUAAUAAUAGGCACCCUGUAAAUAAUUGUAACCAAAUGGAAAGUUACUCCUCCGAAUUUCUGGAGUGAAGUUCAACUUUGUGCUUUAGGACAGAUGGGUCUACAGUUACCUCAAUUUUUUCUAUCAGUAUGGCCAGAGGCAAUGGCACUGAGUUCCACCAGAUGGCCACAAUAUACUACAGGCAGAAACUUCUCAG